GCGAGCGGCGGACGGGUGAGUAACACGUGGGUAACCUGCCCAAGAGACUGGGAUAACACCUGGAAACAGAUGCUAAUACCGGAUAACAACACUAGACGCAUGUCUAGAGUUUGAAAGAUGGUUCUGCUAUCACUCUUGGAUGGACCUGCGGUGCAUUAGCUAGUUGGUAAGGUAACGGCUUACCAAGGCAAUGAUGCAUAGCCGAGUUGAGAGACUGAUCGGCCACAUUGGGACUGAGACACGGCCCAAACUCCUACGGGAGGCAGCAGUAGGGAAUCUUCCACAAUGGACGAAAGUCUGAUGGAGCAACGCCGCGUGAGUGAAGAAGGGUUUCGGCUCGUAAAGCUCUGUUGGUAGUGAAGAAAGAUAGAGGUAGUAACUGGCCUUUAUUUGACGGUAAUUACUUAGAAAGUCACGGCUAACUACGUGCCAGCAGCCGCGGUAAUACGUAGGUGGCAAGCGUUGUCCGGAUUUAUUGGGCGUAAAGCGAGUGCAGGCGGUUCAAUAAGUCUGAUGUGAAAGCCUUCGGCUCAACCGGAGAAUUGCAUCAGAAACUGUUGAACUUGAGUGCAGAAGAGGAGAGUGGAACUCCAUGUGUAGCGGUGGAAUGCGUAGAUAUAUGGAAGAACACCAGUGGCGAAGGCGGCUCUCUGGUCUGCAACUGACGCUGAGGCUCGAAAGCAUG
Molecule: ribosomal RNA, 685 nt
Filed under: uncultured bacterium
Lineage: Bacteria
Description: bacterial SSU rRNA
Rfam family: Bacterial small subunit ribosomal RNA
Source: RNAcentral